GAGUUUGAUCCUGGCUCAGGAUGACCGCUAGCGGCAGGCCUAAUACAUGCAAGUCGAACGGUAAAUAUUUUAGCAAUAGAAUAUGAGAGUGACGUACGGGUGCGUAACACGUAUGCAACCUACCCUUUACAGGCGGAUAGCUCGGGGAAACUCGGAUUAACCCGUCAUAAGAUCAUAGAGUGGCAUCACUUAGUGAUUAAAAUUACGGUGGUAAAGGAUGGGCAUGCGUCUGAUUAGUUAGUUGGCGGUGUAAUGGACCACCAAGACGAUGAUCAGUAGGGGAACUGAGAGGUUGAUCCCCCACACUGGCACUGAGAUACGGGCCAGACUCCUACGGGAGGCAGCAGUAGGGAAUAUUGGUCAAUGGAUGGAAGUCUGAACCAGCCAUGCCGCGUGCAGGAAGAAGGCCUUCUGGGUUGUAAACUGCUUUUGCCAGGGGCUAAAAAGCUCAUGCGUGAGAAAUUGAAAGUACCUGGUGAAUAAGCCACGGCUAACUACGUGCCAGCAGCCGCGGUAAUACGUAGGUGGCAAGCGUUGUCCGGAUUUAUUGGGUUUAAAGGGUGCGUAGGCGGCUUUGUAAGUCAGUGGUGAAAUAUGGCAGCUCAACUGUCAGGGUGCCAUUGAUACUGCGGAGCUUGAGUACAGAUGAGGUAGGCGGAAUUGACGGUGUAGCGGUGAAAUGCUUAGAUAUCGUCAAGAACACCGAUAGCGAAGGCAGCUUACUAGGCUGUAACUGACGCUGAGGCACGAAAGUGUGGGGAUCAAACAGGAUUAGAUACCCUGGUAGUCCACGCCGUAAA
RNAcentral lists this ribosomal RNA (800 nucleotides) under uncultured bacterium. RNAcentral's name for it is "bacterial SSU rRNA". It matches the Rfam family "Bacterial small subunit ribosomal RNA", at positions 9 to 806 of the family's 1533-position model. The record is from RNAcentral.